GCCUAACCAUAAAGCCCAGCCCACUUAUCCAACACUGAUUACACCCACAAAACAAACCAUUUGACAAAAAAGUAUUUGAGAAAGAAAUUUAAAACCGGCGCAAUACAAACCGCAAGGGACAAUUGAAAGAAAAAUGAAAUACCAAAGCACAAUAAAGCAAAGAUUAACCCUUGUACCUCUUGCAUCAUGAUUUAGCAAGAAACAUCAGGCAAAGAGACCUAUAGUCCGCCCCCCCGAAACCUAGUGAGUACUCCCGGGCAAUUUAUAUGAUCA
Molecule: ribosomal RNA, 273 nt
Filed under: Smaug warreni
Lineage: Eukaryota; Metazoa; Chordata; Lepidosauria; Squamata; Cordylidae
Description: partial 16S large subunit ribosomal RNA
Source: RNAcentral